CCUCACAACAAUGAAAAGCAGUGUGAGUGGAGCCUACUAAGUCCCUUGGCCAACAGGGAAGCCAUUUCAGAGCCAGGUAGGCCCUGUGUGGAUGGGCAGGACAGCACAUCUAAGGUGAAAGAAGUGCUUCUCAUUUUAUAAAAUCAGUUUCCCAGAUUCCUUCCGGGAUGUGUCUAUAACCCACGCUGUGAGUUCUGAGGAAAGAGACUACUGAAGACAAAUCCAGGAGAGGCUACUGAGGAAAAAGGACUUGGCUUCCACCUGGGUCCUUACAGAAUACUGUUUCACACCUUCAUGGCCAUGCCUAUUACAUUGUUCAUUCCUCGUGUGUUUACAGUCUCCUCAACAUGGUGGGCACCAAAACAAAAUGUUGUAACUUCACUUCUGUGUAUGCACAGAUCCGAAGGAUACAAAGCACUUCAAGCUUUUACAUCAGGCUUUUACUUUUAAAUCACCAGAGGAGGAAAUAAAGCCCAGAUGAUGGUUCACGUAUUCACCUGGCAGCAGCAGCACAAGAAAUUAGGUCUGCAGUUUUCAUCACCUUCCUGACACUGUAUGUGACCCACGAAAGAAGAGAAUUCUCCAGUCUUCCUCUUUUCUAUCCUCAAACUCUUCACUGUAUGUGGCAACAUGGGCUCAUUAAUGAGAAUUUGUGGCUUUGGUCUUUCAAAAGCAACAAUGAGGUUCCUUAGGGAACUAUUGAACUCUUCUAUCAAUUGCAGAUGAAAAAGAAAUCAAUUUUGGUCCAAAUGACAAUAACUGUAUCAUCAUUUUAAAGCUUUUAAAACUAUUGAUUCAAUGAUUGCAAGAUUGUUUUUAUCUUUGACUUAGGUUCCUAUAAAAAUGUAAACUACAAAAUGAUAUUUUCCAAUAGUGCAGAUAAGCUCUAGAUAAAUUUGAAUGUUCAAAUAUUGCUGAGUAGUGGCUGUGCAUGCCUUUAUUCCCAGCACUUGGGAGACACAGGUAGGCAGAUUUCUGUGGGUUCAAGGUCAACCUAAACUGCAGGUAGAAUUACAGGCCAGCCAGGGAAACACUACAGUUUGUGAGGGAACAGGAACAACAAACUUGAGAUAAAGCUACUGUGUAUGCCCUUGUAAUGUGCUGCAAAGCAUCGGCUAGUGCUGCUGCCAGUGUGGAAGGCCAUUGCACCCUUAGCAGGGAGUGGGAAUGCCAGAGGGAGCUUCUAAGAGGACGAGUGGCUUAUGCCCAAUACUUGCCAAGCUUGGAAUUGAAUGAGGAUUACUUCAUUUUAUUUAUUCAAGAAAUUAAGUUAUGAUUUACACUUGUGUGUUAUUCUAUCCAAAUACAAUUUCUAGUUCUUUAAAGGUUCAUAUUCAUUCUCUGUCCAGUCAUGCUAUCCUGUAAACAGUAUUCAGUCACAAGAAUGUUUCAAUCUCUAUGCUCUUGCAUUAUUGAACACUCUGAAUAUUCCCCAGGCCUACUCACUCUGAAAACACUUUUCUACCAUAUGCAACUGUCUGAGAAAAUCUACUUGUAUGCAGUAGAUUGCUGUUAUUCAUUAUUCAUUACAACAUUAUUUAGUUGAACAACAUACCAUAGAAAACUUGGUUCUGUUGUGGGAAAUGUACAAACUCGGAGAACUAAAUUAUUUUACUAUAAAUGCUUUAAAAAGAGCAGGCUUUAUGGUCCUCAUUAUUUCCUCUGUGCUGAGGAAACAAGUUUUCUCCAAUGGAAAAUAAGCCAUAAAGGCAGAAGCUAUGUGAUACACUGUAUUCAAUAAAAGUUGGAGGUCUAGAUUCUGCUAGCAACACAGUAAAUGAAUACGAAAAUCUCAUUAAAAGUUUUACAAUUGACAAUCAAUAAGUAUUUAGUGAGUAGCCACUAUGUUCCAAGAACAACUUAAUUUCAAGAAAUACAAAUUUUAUCACCCAUAAAAUGUGGCUGCCCUAUACCCUUGAUUGAUAUUCCUCGACAUGUUGAGGUAAAGGACAUUUUUAACAAGAUAUAACUCUAACCAGUUGCUGUUUCUCUUUGCUACAAGAGGAAGUUCUACAAGAAGAAGGAAGGUUGCUAUAUUUCUUUGGGCAGUAGUAAGUAAUAAUAUUCCCAGUCAAAACUUAUCCAAUAUUAUAAACCAUUAGGUAUAAAAUAUUUUCCACACUUCAACUUCCCCAUGUCUCUUCUGACUUUGAUGUGCAGGAAAAUAACUAUUUUCUUACCAGAGGCUGGUUUGACCUACAGAAAAUUUAUAAAUAUUCUGCCUUGAAAGUUCUAGUUGUACAAAUGACCCCAAAAUAAUAACUCUAUCUUUUUAAAAUAUUUUAUUUGUGUGUGUUUGGGGGGGGGUAAGUGCAUACAUGCUCAUGAGAUCUCCAUGUAGCCUGAGCUUUUGACUCUUGUCCUCUGAGUUAACUGUUUCUGAAGGUCGUCUAAAAAUUUUAAAUUUUGAGUCUGAAACUUCCGGUGAGUAAAUAUGGUUGGGUGUGUGUCAUAGUUAACGGAACGUUUGUCUAGCAUACAGAAGACUGUGGUUUUCAUCAUCAUGGCUUCAAAGCAAGGCAUAUAGAUGCUUUCCCUGAUAUUACCUGAACUAUGCUGAACAUUGUUGUGUGUUAUUGUAUUACAGUUUUGCAAAUUGUUAGCAUUAGAGGAAACUGGGAAUGCAGUAUAACAGACUUCUUUGUAUGACUAAAAAAAUGCAUAUAAAUUUAUAAAUUAUUCUCAAUAGACAGCACAAACAUAGGCAAAUGCUAUGUUUUCUAAUUAGCUUUCCAGUAUGACUGAUGUAUAUCAGAGCAGAGAAAAAUUUGCAAGAUGGGGGAGGUGAGGUGUAGCUCAGUGGUACAGAGCUUGCCCUGCAUGCAUAAGGGUCUAGCUUCAACGUCAGUAUUGAAGAUCAGGGAAGGCCCAAAACAAGUGUAAAACUGAAGUUCAUAUUGAGGUUGAGCUUAAAGUUUACAAACAUAAAGUAGUUGAGAUCAAAAUAAUGAAUGUUGAAAUUCAUUAACUACAGCCAAAUGUGUCUUAGCUUCAUUUGCCUUGGGCAGAUACAUAUUUUAGAAAUGACAGCCAUUUAAAGCAUCUAAAUGAAGUAAAUUUUAAACCAGACUUCAAAUCACUAUUUCCACAAAUGUGAAGCUAACAUUUUCAAACUAAUAAAAUAUAAUGUCAUGGUUUUUAUUAAAAUAUUGUAAAUGAUAAUGUCUCAGUGAUUGUAAAGGCAUUUUGAACUAAAAAAGAAAUAACAUAAGGUUAUGAUUAGUUGCAUAUAAACUUGUGCUGUCAUAACUACAGUCAUUUAUGGGGAAGACAAUAUUCAAGUAUAUUUUUAUUAGAAUGUUGGUAUGUUUUCAUUGACUAGUACAUAAUGGAAAUGUACAGAGUACCUUGGUCUUCAAGAGACAGUGUGACUGACCUGAAAUAAAAGGAAUUUGUUUCCC
This 3401-nucleotide long non-coding RNA is filed under the name Mus musculus (house mouse). Its description in RNAcentral is "predicted gene, 33680". Lineage: Eukaryota; Metazoa; Chordata; Mammalia; Rodentia; Muridae. The record is from RNAcentral.